ACGGACCUUUUCUGCGGACCCGAAUCCACUUUCGGUCUAUCCGUCCGGACUCACGAGUCCGUAAACACGACGUUAAAAGCAGUAUGGUAUACACAAUAAGUAAUUUUCCAUUUAUCGGCCGGACGAGAUAACGAUAAAUGAUGCGACGAGUGAUUCCCAGUUGAACCAAAUCACUCGUGACCUAGCUAAUACUAAUCCGUGUCAACAUUUUAUACUUGCACGUUUUUGUAACUCGUUUUCGUCUCGUGCGAACAGAAUACUACAAAAUCGAAAAUACAUCCACCUCGACCUCGUUUCGGAAUAAAUUACAACGCCAGGGAUUGAUGAGGUUCGAUGGUUUCGACGGACCUAUCUAUGAUAAAUUUUUAAAUCACUCCGAUAAUCCCUGCAGAUAUUAUCAAUAAGUACACAGAAAAAGUGAAUCGCUGCACAUUGCGUUGAAUACAAAUUGCUUAACUUGAGUUUUACAAGUUUUACAGAUUGCCAAAAUGUAUAUUAUCGGCAUAAUAAACAAUGUACAGUUAUACUACUUAGAUAAUAACAAUUGUUAAUCUAGUUGUUGAUUAACUAAGGCUUUUAGCAGGUGCAGUUUAAAGUAUGUUAAAUGUUUAUCUGCGUCUCAUUUUAUGCUGACGGUACACAUAAGUUAUUGGUAUAGUAGGUCAUAAGUUAUAGUAAGCUUAUAAAUAGAGGUGUUUGACUUGUCGUCAUGCAAUUGGGAAAUAAUUCCAUUAUUUACAUAUUUUAAGUAAAUAUGUACUUACAUCAUGCGACCAAUAUAAUUAAAUUGUAAAUUAAAAACCGUUC
Cinara cedri is the source of this 807-nucleotide non-coding RNA. Lineage: Eukaryota; Metazoa; Arthropoda; Insecta; Hemiptera; Aphididae. The record is from the annotation of a GenBank genome assembly.